Molecule: small RNA, 421 nt
Filed under: Pan troglodytes (chimpanzee)
Lineage: Eukaryota; Metazoa; Chordata; Mammalia; Primates; Hominidae
Description: processed transcript
Source: RNAcentral
GCGGGGAGACAACCCCUUCCCCAAGAAUGCUGAUGGGACUAUAUGCUACGACUCCACCCACUACAAGGAGACUUGGAAGGCUCUGGAGGCACUGGUGGCUAAGGGGCUGGUCCAGCGGAAAGUGAUCUGCAUCCCCAAAAGUAUCACUCCUUCUCGAAUCCUUCAGAACAUCAAGGUGUUUGACUUCACCUUUAGCCCAGAAGAGAUGAAGCAGCUAAAUGCCCUGAACAAAAAUUGGAGAUAUAUUGUGCCUAUGCUUACGGUGGAUGGGAAGAGAGUCCCAAGGGAUGCAGGGCAUCCUCUGUACCCCUUUAAUGACCCGUACUGAGACCACAGCUUCUUGGCCUCCCUUCCAGCUCUGCAGCUAAUGAGGUCCUGCCACAACGGAAAGAGGGAGUUAAUAAAGCCAUUGGAGCAUCCA